CCUACGGGAGGCAGCAGUAAGGAAUAUUGGUCAAUGGACGCAAGUCUGAACCAGCCAUGCCGCGUGAAGGAUUAAGGUCCUCUGGAUUGUAAACUUCUUUUAUCUGGGACGAAAAAAGGCGAUUCUUCGUCACUUGACGGUACCAGAUGAAUAAGCACCGGCUAACUCCGUGCCAGCAGCCGCGGUAAUACGGAGGGUGCAAGCGUUAUCCGGAUUCACUGGGUUUAAAGGGUGCGUAGGCGGGCAGGUAAGUCAGUGGUGAAAUCCUAGAGCUUAACUCUAGAACUGCCAUUGGUACUAUCUGUCUUGAAUAUUGUGGAGGUAAGCGGAAUAUGUCAUGUAGCGGUGAAAUGCUUAGAUAUGACAUAGAACACCUAUUGCGAAGGCAGCUUACUACGCAUAUAUUGACGCUGAGGCACGAAAGCGUGGGGAUCAAACAGGAUUAGAUACCCUGGUAGUCCACGCCCUAAACGAUGAUUACUCGACAUUUGUGAUACACUAUAAGUGUNUGAGNGAAGANAUAAGUAAUACACCNGGAGUACGACCGCGAGUAGUAACGUACGAAGAAGUAGUAGACGACGAGACGACGCGACGGACGGACGACGACGGGAGGGUAGGAG
This 620-nucleotide ribosomal RNA is filed under the name uncultured bacterium. RNAcentral describes it as "bacterial SSU rRNA". The stretch from base 1 to 534 matches the Rfam family "Bacterial small subunit ribosomal RNA", at positions 338 to 873 of the family's 1533-position model. The record is from RNAcentral.